UACGUAGGUGGCAAGCGUUGUCCGGAUUUACUGGGCGUAAAGAGCGCGCAGGCGGUCGCUCAAGUCGCGUGUGAAAGCCCCCGGCUCAACUGGGGAGGGUCACGCGAUACUGAUCGACUCGAAGGCAGGAGAGGGUAGUGGAAUUCCCGGUGUAGUGGUGAAAUGCGUAGAUAUCGGGAGGAACACCAGUGGCGAAGGCGACCACCUGGACUGAUACUGACACUGAGGUGCGAAAGCGUGGGGAGCAAACAGG
This 253-nucleotide ribosomal RNA is filed under the name uncultured bacterium. RNAcentral describes it as "partial 16S ribosomal RNA". It matches the Rfam family "Bacterial small subunit ribosomal RNA", at positions 524 to 776 of the family's 1533-position model. The record is from RNAcentral.